RNAcentral lists this ribosomal RNA (2900 nucleotides) under Klebsiella pneumoniae. Its description in RNAcentral is "bacterial LSU rRNA". It matches the Rfam family "Bacterial large subunit ribosomal RNA". The record is from RNAcentral. Lineage: Bacteria; Pseudomonadati; Pseudomonadota; Gammaproteobacteria; Enterobacterales; Enterobacteriaceae.
UUAAGCGACUAAGCGUACACGGUGGAUGCCCUGGCAGUCAGAGGCGAUGAAGGACGUGCUAAUCUGCGAAAAGCGUCGGUAAGGUGAUAUGAACCGUUAUAACCGGCGAUGUCCGAAUGGGGAAACCCAGUGCAAUUCGUUGCACUAUCGUUAACUGAAUACAUAGGUUAACGAGGCGAACCGGGGGAACUGAAACAUCUAAGUACCCCGAGGAAAAGAAAUCAACCGAGAUUCCCCCAGUAGCGGCGAGCGAACGGGGAGCAGCCCAGAGUCUGAAUCAGCUUGUGUGUUAGUGGAACGGUCUGGAAAGUCCGACGGUACAGGGUGAUAGUCCCGUACACCAAAAUGCACAGGCUGUGAACUCGAAGAGUAGGGCGGGACACGUGGUAUCCUGUCUGAAUAUGGGGGGACCAUCCUCCAAGGCUAAAUACUCCUGACUGACCGAUAGUGAACCAGUACCGUGAGGGAAAGGCGAAAAGAACCCCGGCGAGGGGAGUGAAAAAGAACCUGAAACCGUGUACGUACAAGCAGUGGGAGCACCUUCGGGUGUGACUGCGUACCUUUUGUAUAAUGGGUCAGCGACUUAUAUUCUGUAGCAAGGUUAACCGUAUAGGGGAGCCGCAGGGAAACCGAGUCUUAACUGGGCGUUAAGUUGCAGGGUAUAGACCCGAAACCCGGUGAUCUAGCCAUGGGCAGGUUGAAGGUUGGGUAACACUAACUGGAGGACCGAACCGACUAAUGUUGAAAAAUUAGCGGAUGACUUGUGGCUGGGGGUGAAAGGCCAAUCAAACCGGGAGAUAGCUGGUUCUCCCCGAAAGCUAUUUAGGUAGCGCCUCGUGAACUCAUCUUCGGGGGUAGAGCACUGUUUCGGCUAGGGGGUCAUCCCGACUUACCAACCCGAUGCAAACUACGAAUACCGAAGAAUGUUAUCACGGGAGACACACGGCGGGUGCUAACGUCCGUCGUGAAGAGGGAAACAACCCAGACCGCCAGCUAAGGUCCCAAAGUCAUGGUUAAGUGGGAAACGAUGUGGGAAGGCACAGACAGCCAGGAUGUUGGCUUAGAAGCAGCCAUCAUUUAAAGAAAGCGUAAUAGCUCACUGGUCGAGUCGGCCUGCGCGGAAGAUGUAACGGGGCUAAACCAUGCACCGAAGCUGCGGCAGCGACACUAUGUGUUGUUGGGUAGGGGAGCGUUCUGUAAGCCUGCGAAGGUGACCUGUGAGGGUUGCUGGAGGUAUCAGAAGUGCGAAUGCUGACAUAAGUAACGAUAAAGCGGGUGAAAAGCCCGCUCGCCGGAAGACCAAGGGUUCCUGUCCAACGUUAAUCGGGGCAGGGUGAGUCGACCCCUAAGGCGAGGCCGAAAGGCGUAGUCGAUGGGAAACAGGUUAAUAUUCCUGUACUUGGUGUUACUGCGAAGGGGGGACGGAGAAGGCUAUGUUAGCCGGGCGACGGUUGUCCCGGUUUAAGCAUGUAGGCUGGUUGUCCAGGCAAAUCCGGAUAAUCAAGGCUGAGGUGUGAUGACGAGGUACUACGGUGCUGAAGUAACAAAUGCCCUGCUUCCAGGAAAAGCCUCUAAGCAUCAGGUAACAUUAAAUCGUACCCCAAACCGACACAGGUGGUCAGGUAGAGAAUACCAAGGCGCUUGAGAGAACUCGGGUGAAGGAACUAGGCAAAAUGGUGCCGUAACUUCGGGAGAAGGCACGCUGGUGUGUAGGUGAAGUCCCUGCGGAUGGAGCUGAGACCAGUCGAAGAUACCAGCUGGCUGCAACUGUUUAUUAAAAACACAGCACUGUGCAAACACGAAAGUGGACGUAUACGGUGUGACGCCUGCCCGGUGCCGGAAGGUUAAUUGAUGGGGUUAUCCGUAAGGAGAAGCUCUUGAUCGAAGCCCCGGUAAACGGCGGCCGUAACUAUAACGGUCCUAAGGUAGCGAAAUUCCUUGUCGGGUAAGUUCCGACCUGCACGAAUGGCGUAAUGAUGGCCAGGCUGUCUCCACCCGAGACUCAGUGAAAUUGAACUCGCUGUGAAGAUGCAGUGUACCCGCGGCAAGACGGAAAGACCCCGUGAACCUUUACUAUAGCUUGACACUGAACAUUGAGCCUUGAUGUGUAGGAUAGGUGGGAGGCUUUGAAGCGUGGACGCCAGUCUGCGUGGAGCCAACCUUGAAAUACCACCCUUUAAUGUUUGAUGUUCUAACGUUGGCCCCUGACCGGGGUUGCGGACAGUGUCUGGUGGGUAGUUUGACUGGGGCGGUCUCCUCCCAAAGCGUAACGGAGGAGCACGAAGGUUAGCUAAUCCUGGUCGGACAUCAGGAGGUUAGUGCAAUGGCAUAAGCUAGCUUGACUGCGAGCGUGACGGCGCGAGCAGGUGCGAAAGCAGGUCAUAGUGAUCCGGUGGUUCUGAAUGGAAGGGCCAUCGCUCAACGGAUAAAAGGUACUCCGGGGAUAACAGGCUGAUACCGCCCAAGAGUUCAUAUCGACGGCGGUGUUUGGCACCUCGAUGUCGGCUCAUCACAUCCUGGGGCUGAAGUAGGUCCCAAGGGUAUGGCUGUUCGCCAUUUAAAGUGGUACGCGAGCUGGGUUUAGAACGUCGUGAGACAGUUCGGUCCCUAUCUGCCGUGGGCGCUGGAGAAUUGAGGGGGGCUGCUCCUAGUACGAGAGGACCGGAGUGGACGCAUCACUGGUGUUCGGGUUGUCAUGCCAAUGGCACUGCCCGGUAGCUAAAUGCGGAAGAGAUAAGUGCUGAAAGCAUCUAAGCACGAAACUUGCCCCGAGAUGAGUUCUCCCUGAGACUUUAAGUCUCCUGAAGGAACGUUGAAGACGACGACGUUGAUAGGCCGGGUGUGUAAGCGCAGCGAUGCGUUGAGCUAACCGGUACUAAUGAACCGUGAGGCUUAACCUU